CUGCAGGAUGACCUCGUUUCUGAAAUGUAAUUUUUCAUUUUCUGUCUCAUUUUGGGAGACUACAUUGUUUUAGUUGUGUACUUGGCAAUUUAGAGGAAGUAAUGAGACCUCCUGUGAAAUGAGGAAGCUGAAUUCCAGCGAGCUUUAGACAAGAGAUCUGCGUUCAGCACUACAGAAAUGAGUCAGCACAGCAGGAGUUUCUGUAAGAGUUUAUCCUGGUUAUCCUCAGGAUUAGAAGUGCUGCAGUUUGGAGAUGUAGAUGGUUUCUAAUUACAGGAUCAGAGGAGUGAGAGUGGUCUCUGACUCACUGGAGGUACCACACAUAAAUCUUCUUUCAUCUGGUGAUGCCUUCAGUGUUGAAAGGUUUGAUGUGCACAGGUCACUCGUGGUCUGAGCAGGCAGGAGGAGGAGGUGGCCUCAUCCCAUCCAAAUUAUCAUUCUGGAAGAUUGAGAUGCCCACAAUUGCACACGGUGUCUGCCUGUCCAGUGAAUGCAGAAUUUGGAAUUUACAGCUGUUAUGAAGAUCAAAGGAACCACACUGGUUAUUUCUGGGCUUGCAGUGAGAUGCACUGCAGGGAAAUAUGUUUUAAGGUUGCUGCUCCUCGUAGGAAAGAACACAGCACUUGGAAUGAAG
This 634-nucleotide long non-coding RNA is filed under the name Parus major (Great Tit). RNAcentral describes it as "lncRNA (ENSPMJG00000001364.1)". Lineage: Eukaryota; Metazoa; Chordata; Aves; Passeriformes; Paridae. The record is from RNAcentral.